ACUCAAAUGAAUAGACGGGGGCCCGCACAAGCGGUGGAGCAUGUGGUUUAAUUCGACGCAACGCGAAGAACCUUACCUACUCUUGACAUCCUCGGAAUCUGAUAGAGAUAUUGGAGUGCCUUCGGGAACCGAGAGACAGGUGCUGCAUGGCUGUCGUCAGCUCGUGUCGUGAGAUGUUGGGUUAAGUCCCGUAACGAGCGCAACCCUUGUCAUUAGUUGCCAGCGGGUAAUGCCGGGAACUCUAAUGAGACUGCCGGUGAUAAGCCGGAGGAAGGCAGGGAUGAGGUCAAGUCAUCAUGGCCCUUACGAGUAGGGCUACACACGUGCUACAAUGGGCGGUACAGAGGGAAGCGAAGCCGCAAGGUGAAGCGAAUCUUAUGAAAGCCGCUCGUAGUCCGGAUUGGAGUCUGCAACUCGACUCCAUGAAGUUGGAAUCGCUAGUAAUCGCGGAUCAGAACGCCGCGGUGAAUACGUUCUCGGGCCUUGUACACACCGCCCGU
This 500-nucleotide ribosomal RNA is filed under the name uncultured bacterium. RNAcentral describes it as "partial 16S ribosomal RNA". It matches the Rfam family "Bacterial small subunit ribosomal RNA", at positions 899 to 1397 of the family's 1533-position model. The record is from RNAcentral.